UUUCUACUACAGAAAGCAAAAAAAAAGUAAGAGAAGAAGUCUGAGAAGUCAAAAGACUUGCAGAUUAUCUGACUAGGACACUCUGUGGAGGACUUUGAUACAAAUGGAUUGAUUUUUCAGUCUAGUGAUCUCUGUUCAGAAGGCCCUUGCAAGACACCAGUACCUUGAUAUUUGACUUCCAGUCUCCAGAACUUGGAACCUGAACAGUCUGCUGAAGCACCUGAUGUUUGGCCUUCCUGAAUGUCAUGUAAUACGUAUUCAUUUUUUCCAGCUGAAAAUAAAUAGAAUUGGAAAAAAAAGAAAUUAUGUAACGUGAGAGGAAAAAGCCUUUGAAGUGAACUCUUCUGGAAGUUUUAUGUUCAUUGCUAUCCUUUAGCUUUCCCAAAAUGCCCAUAAGCCAAAGAUUUCAUGUGUUAUUUCUGUAAUUUGGUAGUUUUCAUUUAA
Long non-coding RNA from Homo sapiens (human), 444 nucleotides. Ensembl annotates it as long intergenic non-protein coding RNA 1853. NCBI's taxonomy places the organism in Eukaryota, Metazoa, Chordata, Mammalia, Primates, Hominidae. The record is from Ensembl.